RNAcentral lists this ribosomal RNA (253 nucleotides) under uncultured bacterium. RNAcentral's name for it is "partial 16S ribosomal RNA". It matches the Rfam family "Bacterial small subunit ribosomal RNA", at positions 524 to 776 of the family's 1533-position model. The record is from RNAcentral.
GACAGAGGGUGCAAACGUUGCUCGGAAUUACUGGGCGUAAAGCGCGUGUAGGUGGAUUGGUGUGUCAGAUGUGAAAUCCCUGGGCCCAACCCAGGAACUGCACCUGAAACUACCAGUCUUGAGUGGUGGAGAGGGAAGUGGAAUUCCUGGUGUAGAGGUGAAAUUCGUAGAUAUCAGGAGGAACACCAGUGGCGAAGGCGGCUUCCUGGACACUAACUGACGCUGAGACGCGAAAGCGUGGGGAGCAAACAGG